This 237-nucleotide unclassified non-coding RNA is filed under the name Hevea brasiliensis (rubber tree). Lineage: Eukaryota; Viridiplantae; Streptophyta; Magnoliopsida; Malpighiales; Euphorbiaceae. The record is from RNAcentral.
UCAUCGGCUCCACACUAUCAACGAAUCACUGAAUUCUCUCAACUUUGAAGAUUUCAGAGGUUAUGGCUGAUGACGAUUUCCUUCAGCUCCUCAAGAGAAUUGGGGCAUUUCUUACUCUCAAGAUUUCUAAUCUCUCACAAACACUGGAUUCAAGAUGUGCAGGAGCUAUAGCAGGUCUUGCAUUUGCAAUAGUAUUUAUCUGGAAAAUAAUGAGAUCACCUAGUGGACCACAGAGGA